RNAcentral lists this unclassified non-coding RNA (222 nucleotides) under uncultured Bacteroidota bacterium. Its description in RNAcentral is "uncultured Bacteroidetes bacterium contains 16S-23S intergenic spacer region". Lineage: Bacteria; Pseudomonadati; Bacteroidota. The record is from RNAcentral.
UCACUACUUGCGUAGGCAGUCUGGCUAGAGUCCCCACCAUUACGUGCUGGUAACUAACCACAGGGGUUGCGCUCGUUGCGCCACUUAAGGCAACACCUCACGGCACGAGCUGACGACAGCCAUGCAGCACCUUCCGGCCCGUCCCGAAGGAAAGCUCCCUUUCAGGAGCCGGCAGGCCGGAUUUAGCCCAGGUAAGGUGGGGAUGACGUGUGCGUAACAGAA